GACGAACGCUGGCGGCGUGCUUAACACAUGCAAGUCGAACGGUGAAGCGCCUUCCUUUUUGGUGGGUGUGGAUGAGUGGCGAACGGGUGAGUAACACGUGAGUAACCUGCCCCCUUCUUCUGGAUAACCGCAUGAAAGUGUGGCUAAUACGGGAUAUUCUGGGUCUGUCGCAUGAUGGGUCUGGGAAAGAUAUUGUUUCGGUGGGGGAUGGGCUCGCGGCCUAUCAGCUUGUUGGUGGGGUGAUGGCCUACCAAGGCGGUGACGGGUAGCCGGCCUGAGAGGGUGGACGGUCACACUGGGACUGAGACACGGCCCAGACUCCUACGGUGUGCAGCAGUGGGGAAUAUUGCACAAUGGGCGCAAGCCUGAUGCAGCGACGCCGCGUGAGGGAUGGAGGCCUUCGGGUUGUGAACCUCUUUCGCCAGUGAAGCAGGCCUGCCUCGUUUGUGGGUGGGUUGACGGUAGCUGGAUAAGAAGCGCCGGCUAACUACGUG
This 494-nucleotide ribosomal RNA is filed under the name uncultured bacterium. RNAcentral describes it as "partial 16S ribosomal RNA". It matches the Rfam family "Bacterial small subunit ribosomal RNA", at positions 28 to 507 of the family's 1533-position model. The record is from RNAcentral.